UGCGUAGGCGGAUUAAUAAGUCAGCGGUGAAAACCUUCAGCUUAACUGGAGACUUGCCAUUGAUACUGUUAGUCUUGAGUACGGUCAAGGUAGGCGGAAUGUGUAAUGUAGCGGUGAAAUGCUUAGAUAUUACACAGAACACCGAUUGCGAAGGCAGCUUACUGGGCCAUUACUGACGCUGAGGCACGAAAGCGUGGGGAGCGAACAGGAUUAGAUACCCUGGUAGUCC
Molecule: ribosomal RNA, 229 nt
Filed under: uncultured bacterium
Lineage: Bacteria
Description: partial 16S ribosomal RNA
Rfam family: Bacterial small subunit ribosomal RNA
Source: RNAcentral